UCCAAUUUUUGUACAGAUUAUAUAUCUUCGGAUAUCAACGGCCUAAUUUUAAUAACAACGUACCUCCUUCUCAUCAAAAAUUUUUCCAUUGCAACAUGCAGGCCAUGUUCCAUCAUUGUAAUCAGGCCAUAACCCAUCUAUCACACAAGCAAGAGAAUAUAAAUUUUGAGGUCUACAUACAUCAAACUAUUUUAACUGAUAUCAGUACAUGAGCAUGCUCAACUUUAUUUUAUUCAUCAAAUAUUGAAUCAUUUACAGAAACGUCAAUUUGAUUAUAGAGUUUUUCAAAUAUCGUGUUGUAGGGCAUUGCACCAUUAGAAAAUUGUCUUCAGCUUCUUCAAAAAUCACAUGUUUACUGCUUGUUUCACUCACUGUCAAAUGUAAUGUCAUAAAUUGAAAAAUAUUUUGAAAAUGAGAAUGAUUGAGAUGCAUGAAGAUAUUAAAAUCGUGUGUAUUCUUAAAAUGUAUUGUUGUCGUAUCUAUAUAUCGCCAUUCUGUGUCAGGUUGUUUGUGCUUCUUAGUUUGGAAUUGUAAAAGCAACGCAAUCGUAUCUUCAACUUACGAAUUGUAAAGUCACCAAAAGCACCAGAUCUACCAUAGAAGAGAGAAAAUGAAUGUAAGUUUGUGAACAAUGAAAAAGAACAUCCACAGUAUUUAGAACUCUCAAAAAUAUGAAAUACAAGUUACAACAGAUAGACAAAACUUUAAAUUCUUAUUCUAUCAAUGGUCUCUAGUAACCUUUUUCUUAGCAACUUUUUGGUGUCAUCCCUGUUAUUCCUUGCCUAAUGGCAAAAACAUGAAACGCAGAUGUUGGUGCGAAAGGAUGCUCAAAUUUAAUAAAUCCAUGAAAGGUUAUUGGACAGCUACUACAACUUAAAUGUAUUAAACAGACUUACAUUCAAUAACCAACAAGAGAGAUAUUUUUAUUACAUUCAAUAAAGAGGAACCUGGAAGAAGCCUAAUUAAAUAUAGAGUGAACACGAUAUCCUAACAAAAUGAAUGAGGCAAACCCUUUUGUUCAUACAUAAAGCCAAUCAUUCUCAAUGAGACACUAAUCAUUUCCUUUUCUAGCACAAAAAGUUAAAAGGUCCAGCAUCUCUCCUAUAGAAGAAGACUUGCAAAAUGAAUCGAUGACACAAAAGGUAGACAUUAUAAACUAGAGAAAUUGUGGGUGACCAAUCUAGGAUAUUUAAAGGAUGACACACACACACUUUUCCCAAGAUAUGAAAAUCAGGCGUAUCAGCACUUUUUGCCAUUUCACUUUGAUUCCCUAUCACCCACCAAAAUCAUAUCCAACAAUUGAGCGAAAAGAAGGCGGAAGUCACGAAGACGCAUGAUACACAAACUCAGUAAUUUCUACCUCUUUUGUACAUCAAGCAGCAUAACAAAAUAGAUAAUUUUACAGCAAAUAACAACCAAACAGAAUCCUAAAACAAAAGGGAAGGACGAAUUAAGCAUCAUUCUAAAGGGGAUAUAUCUAAUAUCUAAAUGGUCGGAAAAAUAGAAGAGACAGUCACCGAUUACAACAUCCGUUGGAGGAACAACAAUGGCGAGUGCCCUUGCAGACAGUACCAGGCCAUUGUAGGGCCAAUUUGAAGUAAUCGAAUUCUCUCUGCUCUUGACCGUCCUUGGUGUGGAAAAUUAUGGCACCUGAAGCAUGAUUGAAGGGAGUUGAUGAAAUAAAGAUGGUGAAUUGAAGAAGAAAUAAGAUGGGAAUGGCGGAGAGGGAGAGCAUCGUGAUCGGCAAAUUGAUCCACUCCCCAAAAAAACGACGAGGACUCCGUGGAGACCAAAAAUGAUAAAUAUAUUAAUAGAAUACAAUUAGCAAAGGCAACAAUCACUUUAUUUGUUUCCAACCUUUGAGGGUAUAAUACACUUUGUAUUAUCUUCUCAUGUAAAACUUUCUAUUAUAAGUUUAGUGUUUCGUCGUUGAUGUGACUUUUUUACUGAUAGGAAUGCAUAUUAAGAAAAGAAACACUUUAUAUUACCAAUGAUAUAAAAUUUUGCUACAUCUUCAAUCAAGGUCGAAAGCAAACGAGAAAAUUGAUAGUUAUUUAGCUUAAACAAAAUUUUAUUUAGAUAAAUACGACUAAAACAAAAUCAGACAAGUCUUUUUUAAAAGAAAAUGAGAUGUACAUAAUUACAAAUUUGGAGCUAUAUGAUGACAUGCUUUUGUUGCACGAUCCUAAAAAUAGUUUAAUUUUCAUUAUAGAAUCUUAUUUUAUAUGAUUUAAAAUAAGAUAUUUAGAUCGUAUAAAAACUAUUUGGUACGAGAUAUUUUGUAAAUAAGUAAAUUUAUAAAAACUAUUUAAAUUAAGAAUUGAUUUGUUUGUAUAGAUAUUGAUUGAUGUGUGUAACAAAAUAUUUUCUCUAACUUUUAGUAGGGAAGUAAUUUUAGAAUUUUAAUGUAAUAUAUUUAAUUUUGACGUAUAAAUCGAACAAUCCAUCUUUCCUUCUAUAUUGAUGUUUCUCUAUUACUUGAACUAAUUCUUAAGUAUCUUCAAUUGAAUUACCGUUGGAUCCAAUUCGGAAUUAUUCUUUAUGCCCCGGAUUACGUCCCUGGUCAUUAGAUAGGAAUCCGAAAAUGAAGAGAGAAACAAAGAAUAUUACUACUGUAUAAACAAAUAGUUUGAGAGUAAGCAUUACACAAUCUCCAAGAUCAUUUUUUUUUUAAGAGAAUAGAUUCUCUAUUUUAAUCUGUUUUGACACCAAGAAAUGCAGUGAAGUUAUUUCUAGAAAUAGGAAAAAAUUUAAAGAGUUGAGUCCUUGAUUACUCAAAAUUGGAUUUCAUACCCACAAUUCUAUAUUGUGGGGGACUCUAACAGGGUCGUUCAAAGGAAAAAAGUAAGAAUAAUAAAAUGAGAGUGAUCCAGAUUUAUCAAAGCUAUAGAAGAAUUUCUAUAUUGGAUUCAACUUAAAGCUUCAGACUGUAUGUACAACUUAUCUGAUCUUAUAACUAGUUAGAAUCUUUUUUUUUUUUUCCUAGUAAAUCAUGAAUUUGUCUCGGACAGUAUUAAAAAUAUUAUCGAAAGCUUACAGCAGCUUGCCAAACAAAAGCUAAUAGAAAAAAGAAUAGAGGUAUUACUGGCAUAACAUCUACUAUUGGAUUCAAAAAAGCGUAGGCCUCGGGCAAUUUGGCGACGAAAAAACUACUUGAAUAAAGGAAAGAAUUAAGACAGAUACCGAUGAAACUUAAGAUAUUGUAUCAUUCUUGAGUUAGUUCUAAAAUAACCGACUUUAACAAAUUUUUGUAAACUUCAAUCUAUAAAAGGCUGGUCCAUUAUUCAUAAAUUUCCUCAGCUUUACAAGAUUACUUUUGUCCCUUCAAAUAAUCAAAUACCUUACCCUUUAUUCCCUCAAAUCACUACACACUGUUUAUGAUCAACUUGUCUUAAAAUAAAUCGAAUGAGGUCCUUUUUUCAGGAUUACAUCAUUUUAAGUCUAUCCUUCACAUAAGACUAGAAAAGAGUUGUGAUUAUUUGAAUUACCAUAAUUAGUCUAUAAAUUAGAUUUUUAUUUUUUUUCAAUCACUUUUCUCACCACAAUUGAAAAGAACUUUGAUGUUCAAUUUACUUUUGAUUCGUUUGAUCUUGUAGACAAGACCCUACAAUGGAAACAUGGACAGUAAGGUAAAGUUGUCGAAUUCAUUGAAGUAAUGUAUUUUAAAUUGUAUAAAGAGGGCUGAGACAUUGAUAAAAGAAUUGUAAUACAAUAUAAAUUUGAAAUUUGAAAUUAAAACAGUAAGUUAAUUGAAAUAAAAGUAGCCUUAAACAUAUAUAAAAUAACACUCUCGAACAAAUCACCUCAAAAAUUAAUAAUUACACAAUUCAAAAAAGGUAACAUCAUAGAAUUAGCAUAAAGAUCAGUCAAAUGUUUGUGUAAAUAAUAAGAUGUUUCAAUAGAACCUCCAACAGUUGUUACAAAGACUUGAAAAUCAAUAAAGAGAAGAAUAAACAAUUUUCAAUUCUCAUCACUGAAAAAACCAUCACUUGUAUAUAUGAGCUAAAAAGAGAACAAAUUAUCAAAUUCCAUUUUCUAUACAUAUUUCCCCUUUGAUACCAUCAAUAAAAAUUACACAUUCCUGGCUGAUUAGUUAUUUACAUUCUAGGAAGGAAUUCAGUUAGUUAAAAAGUGAUACCGAUAAAAGAAACACAAUGGGAAGGGUGAACGAGAGAGAGAGAGAGAGAAUGAGAUAUGGAGAGAGAAUUUUCUAGCCUUCUACCUUCGUUUGAAAAACCGAAGACGAAGAAAUGCUACUUCAAACUACAACUCGAAAACGGUCUAGGAAAUGAAGAAGAAUAUAAUGUUACAUGUGGAAGGUAUCCAUCAAAUGAAUACCAUAAAGAAACUGAGGAAAACAACCAGUCCUGCAAAUCGCUCAUAUUUAUAUAUCAGACCCCAUUGUUUGUUAUGUUACAAAAGUUCAAUUCCACCAAUAUUUUUUUUCUUUUUUACAUUUGCUUCCACAUACCCUAAAACUGGUAAAUUCACCCUCAUCAGAAGCUACUCUGCACGAAGAAAGAAGAACUAUCAUAACACUCAAAAGGGUCCAGGAAAAACCAAAUAUGAAAAGGCAAGAGAAUAAGAAAAUAAUUAAAGCUCAGUUAGGAUACUACUGUCUCUAAGGCAUGCAUUAUACCAAAUGGAAUUGUGAAGAAACUUAUAUAAAUGGUAGUUUCAGCAUGUCCCAACUGAAUGGAUUUAGCUCCCCUACAAGUAAAGGUUGAGAAGAGCAGAUAAACGUUUGCAGAGUUAUCGGCUGGACUCAGUUAACCCCAAAUUUCUAGAAAUAUAUGCCCUACUAAACUUAGCAUACUUCAGGCAAACACAACAGGCAUUAAGGAAGUGCAAUUACUACAAAUGACAAAGAAAUCAACACAAAAAAAAAAACAGAAACACUUCAAAAGAAAACUCAAACAAAGAAACACUUUGCAAAGAAUGACUUAAAAUAACGAUCUCUUUUAUUAGGCACUUUGAUUAAUACGCAUGCUUAGUAAUUUCCCUUCUCCUUAACUAUUGCGUUCCAAGUUUCAUCUUAAGAGAAUACCAAUUGUUAAAGUAUCAGACAAAAAACCACACGACAAAGACAAGGAUGAAAGAAAAUCACCCAAUACCCAUGCCAAGUCACCCAAGAUUAAGAAAAAGAACUAUAUUUCUAAACUCAGAAUCAAAAGAAGCCUAUAAAUACAUAAACAAAAUUUCAAAACAUUAUCUAAUUAAACAAGUCUAGAAUCCAUUUUUUCUAAACCCAUACAUCAAAGACAAAAUCAAGGUCAAGGUGGUUAUUCCAUAAAAAUACCCAAGGUGCACACGCACAUAUAUCCACAAUAUGUUAGAGGCAUUUAAAAUAUCAUAAAAAAUUAAUAUCAAUUUUUUCAUCUCUGAAAUAGCUUGGUCUUCUUUCAUCACCCUCAUCUCUCAGCUACUCUUAUCCUUCUCAAUUCCAUAACACAUCUUUUAGUUUGGGUAUUGCAACUCCACCAUGGCUACAGGUGCUGCCAGUAAAAGUUGAAAGAGAACUAAAGUAUGUUUCCUAUAUAGAAGGAUGGUUUUAACUUUAACACCCAGAGUUUUCCAUUGACUCUAGACCCCAUGGUAGUAACUUAAUUCCGUGAUGCAUUUUUUUUUCUGAAGCUAGUCCAUAAGUUUCCCUAGUCACCCUUGAAGGGGUGAUCCAAAACACAUUGAUCGGAUCCAUUCUAUAGUACCACAAGAAAGAGCCAAUUUCCAUCUAAAGGCACUGAAAAUUUCUGUCCAUAAAGCAUGAGAAAAAAUUGGCAGUGAAAAAAGAGAUGGUUCACUGAUUGGAAGCUGUUCUGAUAUAGACGACACCAAUAAGGAGACCAAGAAAUCCACAGGCAUCUUGCUUGUAGCCAAUCCAUGGUAUCAAGGAAAAUAGGGAUGGAGAUUCUAACUUCUAGUCUUUUGGUCCAAAAUAUAUGUCUUAAGUAGCUGAGUUAUGCUUCAGUUAGCUAGUUAGAUAAUAUCUUAUCCAAUUGUUUUAGGCUGCUCAAUGAUACAGAAUUGUUUUUUAAUCAUAUGGACCUUUUUCUACUUCUACAACGAGAGCUUUAUCUUGUCUUGUUUGAAACAAUCAGACACACUGGUUCUAUCAUCUUUUGGUCCCACAAGCUCAAAAAUUCUACAACCAAACUUCAAUCAAAACUUUCCUAAGAUUCCCCCGAAACCUUCCACCCAACCUUGUAAAUGCCUAUGCCUACAGAAACCAUAACACCUCCUUUCUACCUUCUAAACCCACUGGAUAGAGAAGCAAUUCCAAUCUACCAACCACUACAAUUUGAUAACUUUUCCACAAUCCACACACACAGUACUAUGGUUAACAAAAGACCCUGCAAAAGCUCCACUGGAGUAUACUACACCAGAGAAAAAGCUUCCUUCCGUGCAAUCUAAUGUAAAAAGGAACUUAGGUCUAGGAACUUGCCCAGGAACCCUUCAAAAAACUAGAGGAAGAGAAACAACUUAAUUUCCACAAUACAACAGAUAAAAAUACAUGGAAUCUCUUGCAUUUUGAAAAGAAAAAAAAAAUUAUUAAAUUUAAAAUAAAAAACCCUUAAUUUCUUUUAAGGCAUUCUAUGGAGCCUGGGAGACACUGGGCAUGCUAGGUUCCAACCCUCUUUGAUACCUAGUCCAGCACAUUUCGAAGGUAUACUCCUAAGUAGGCAACUAUAGUUGAGAUGUCUUUUUGUAGACUCUUAAUGAAAAAGUUUCAGUUUAUAUGGUAGUUGGGUGUUAAUGCUUCUGUGUGCGAUCCUAUAGGAGCAACAGUUUUAUGAUGCAACUUUUCAAGAUUCGUUGACUUUUUGUAGUUGGUUCUUGGACUGCCUUUUUGAGUUGAGCUUCAUUUCUUCUAUGUUGAGUGCAUCUAUUUUUCUCAAUGGAAGUUCAGUUUCGUAUUAAAAAAAAUCAUCUCCAAAUGAAAAGGAAAAUAAAAAAAAACCAUGAAUGCAAAAAAACUUUAAUCAAAUGAAGAACAAUUGAAUAUAUAAUAUAUUUGAAAAAUAUAAAUAUACCUCAAGUAUUUUUGACAACAUUAAGUGAAAAUUCCACCAAUCUUUCUACAACCAUACGAGGAAAUAAAUGACCUAGAUUAUUCCACAAUGUCAGCCCGCUACCUUUAUCACUCCCAUUUCUUCAAUUUUUGAGGCCUUAUGCUGCAAAAAGUAAAUGCAGAAGGCUUUUAGUUGGAUAACUAUAAAUUGAAAAGUCAAAACAUGAAUUAAGAAGAUAAAAGUUGACCCGGAUAAUUGCUUCGCAGUGCAAGCAUUCUAGAGCUGGAAAAAAAUGGACUUCGUAUUACCUUACUUUUUUUGUGCCUAUGAAUGUCAUUAAUAUCAUCUUCCCCAUCAUGCUUCCUUUUCUGAAAAUUAAGAGAAGUUAGAAAUUAAGAACCAGCUUAUUUGGCUACAUGCACAACAAUUAUAUAUUAGUUUGGAAGUAAAACACAAAAAAACUACUUAAUCCUUAAUUUUUAAGAGAGAAAAAUGGUACAAAUUAAUUAACUUUUCAAUUCUCCAUCCUCAAGGCAAAUUAAGGAUUUAAUAAUCUAGAUCCAAUGGAAAAAAAAACAUCAGUGGAAGGGAUAAUCUUGUAACCUUAACAACAAACUAGGAAAUGGGAUAAACUAAAAAGUCCAUAAUGUUAAUGUCAAUGACAAUCUACCCCCGGACCAUCCCACUGUUAUCAAGUCUUGGUAGCUGGUACUUACAAGGGAGCUGGAAAAGAGUAAAUGUUUACCAACCUUUUCAUGAUGCUUCUUAGAAUGAUCAGCACCAGAAUCUUGAUGGCCACUUUUUUCUUUCUUCUUGUCCUUGUCUUUAUCCUUACUCCGGUCUUUAUGUCGAUGCUUGUGCUUCUUAUGCUCUCUAUCCUUCUCCUUAUCUCUAUCCUUGUGCUUCUUGUGCUUUCUGUCUUUAUCUUUGGACUCACUUUUUGACUUCCCUGGAAUAGUAGGAACACCCUUCUCGGCCUAACCAAAGAAAAAAAAAUGGACCCAUCACUUGCAGAGAAAAGAAUCAGGAUGAGAAAUGCUGAUAAUCAGACCCGUUGCCUUGGUAACAUCUAAGUUCCAUCUGAUGGAAGAAAGCUGAAGAAAGUGGCUCAUUUCAACAAUUCUAAUAAUAGAUUUCUUACAGAAGGCAGAUCAACAGGACCAGUUUCCCUCAGUUGGAAGGCUUCUAUGAGAAUAUCUUGAUCAAAUGGCUGUAUGCGGGCAUUAGUCUCUCUAGGGUAAGAAGUAUUCUGUAUGAGUUGAUUCAACUGCAUCCCUUCUCCUUUUCUAAUUUCUGUGUCUCCAACCACGUUAUGAAGAUAAUGUGUGUCCGAAAUUGACAAUGGAAGUGACUUCUUGCAGAAAAAAUCAUGGUGAGGUAACAGCUUGUAGUGACUUAUAAGAUCCACAGCACCAGUUAGUUCCCUAGGUCCUAAAGGUACAAAUAAAAAUACACCGAAAUUCAGGUGAAAAGAUUAUAAAUAUAGAUAGAAAAUGAACAGGAUGGAUAAAAAAACAGUAUAACUUGUACUUCCGUGUUCCUUUCCAUUACAUUGAAAUCAAAGCAAUAAAAAACAAUAUACUAACGAAAGAAAGAAAAAGCUAAGUGAUAGGAAAAAAUCAAUUGAAGAUUUAAAAUGUACAACAUGGAGAGACAAAAGGAGCUAUAGUAAUUAUAUUCAUAAAAAUAAACAAAAAUAAAGAAAGAAUUGUUUUAUUUUAUUCCUGGGGGGUAGAAGGACUGCAUAAGUAAUAUUAAACCAUUGCAGAGAAAAACCAUAUUGCUUUAAAGAAAAUAGAGAACCUUGAAAGAUUCUCUCUUCAGAAAUCCUGAAGAUCUUAAAAUGAAAUUUUCAUGGCAUGGCAUAGAUCAUAUGCAAUUUUAGGUGGAAACUGCUUAGAGUUUAGCUCAAAGUCAGGUACAGAACUCAUUCACUUACUGCAAUGAACACUCUGUCUCAAUGUCUUUUCAGUACAAAUCCAAAAUUCAAGACACUUCAAGUUCUCAAUUACAGAAAGUCCUUUCUUGUCUCACUUUGAGCUCCCAGUUAUAGGAAGACCUUAGUAAGACAUGGGCCACUUUUCAUUGCUCAAGCCUAAAAGAGAGACUAAAUAAAGAACUAUCAAGUCAUCAUAGCUCACUUCCAACAUGUAGUGUUCCUUGGACUAAAUUCAGACAUGAAGAAAGAUUAAAAAAUAACAGUAUUGACGAGAUUAACAACUAUAUCUUCUUUUGUGGUAGAAGAAGAAUGGUAUGAUUUGAACAUUGAAGGUGAUUAAUACUGAGCCUUUAGUUAAUAUAAUCAAGAAGAAAGAUAGGAAAUAUACUGAAAUAAUUCCAGAAACUAAUGAAAGUUAGACUUUGACAGAUAGGAAAUGAGAAGCAAGGAUGGCUUCAUGAAAUAUAGGUGAGCCUUUCCACUCACUCAAUCUUACAAGAAUCUUCUAUAACAUAUGGGCCCAAGCCACCCAACAGAGGACAGGAACUCCUCCAAGGGAUAAGUAAAAAGUAAACAGGUCAAAAUAACAACCCCACACAAAACUAACUCCAACUCCCCCAAGAUACCGUUGCAAUGUUUGGAAAGGAUUAAAAAGGGAAAGGAGAAGAGCAGACCUCUUUGCCUGUCUCUAGUUGGCAAAAUAUUUACAUCUAGAGCAUGUUUACUUCCAAGGGCAUGUUUUUAGGGAAAGGCUUUUAAUGUUUUCAGAUACAUCAAAGAUAACACAAGGGCAUGAUUUCACCCAAAAAAGGCAUGUCAUUUAGGAUAAUAUAGUAUCAUCAGAAAACAUCCAGAGAUUUCUAAACGUAAAACCAUCAAAUGUAUAUACCUAGCUACGUCUCACUCUUCAAACAUGCCAUAGCACAGGGGAAAAGAGACUAAAUUGACAAAAUAUAUCAACAGUUACCUCGGCCAAAUUUCUUAUCUUCAGAUUCCAUGUAUCACUUUUCCUUGGGACAAUGUAACAUUAUAACUGCAAUCAUAAAACCCCAAAAAGUAGUGAGAUUAGAAUUCCGAGCUAACAAACAUAAAAAUGCUUUGAACUUGUUCGUUCAACAGAUUAAAACUUAAAAGGAACAAUCAAACAGAGAAGGCUAAAACCCAUGGCUUAUAUAAAAGAAAAGGGAAGUGAAUCAAAUCUGGGUUUUCUUUCGCACGAGUCAAACAGAGAAAUAACGCACAAAUAUGCCUAACUCCAUUGGACAUACUCAUAAAACAAAAAAUAUAUAUAGGAGUUACGAAUACACACAUGAUGUGUUAUCACUAAAUGGUUUGCUUAAAGGAGGACGUAAAUAUAAUUAGGCCAACAUAAGCGUAGCUUAGCAAUACUCCUUCCUUGAGGUUGGAGGUUCAAACUCCCAUACCCCACCAUUUCUUUUACUAGAAGAAGUUAAUUUAUCAGAACUUGGAGGACUAAUUGGGUCACUACAAAAAAAUUCUAAUAUAGAAAAACAUCCAGAACAUUUUGUAAGUUUGUUAGCAAAUCAUGCACACAACAAAUCCAAAACUUGAGCCAUAAAAUCUAUCCAAAAACCAUUAACUAAGAGAGAUACUGGUUACAAUUUUGAAAAGAAUUGUAUCAAGAAGACAAGACAGAAACUAGCCCAAUCCCUAUAUUGACCCCGCUAAAACCACUGUCAUCCAAAAGAAAACAAGAAAUACAUCUGAACUCGAAGCCAAGAAUAAAACAAGCAGGAAACAUAAUUUCAGAAGAACCCCAACCCCAACCUCAACCUCCAAAAAAAACGUCUCCUUCUUCAAAUUCAACGAGAACCAAGAACCCCAAAAUUCGAAACACCCAAUUCAGCUCAAGCAGAAAAAGAGCCAGGAGUGGCAGCAAAAAAACCCUAAAGACAGCAAUCAAUCACAGAACUGAAAACCCCGGGAUUGAGGGGGGGAGGGGAAAAAAAGAGAAAGGGCAGUGCUUAAAACAAGAAACAACUCAAAAGCAAUCCAUUAGAGAAGCAAAGAAAAGAAAAGGAACCUGGGCGGAAAAGGGUAGAAGAAAGGGAAAGAGGCGCCGGGAAAGGAGAGGGGAUUGAAAGAGCGAUCGAGAAAAAGGGGUGACGAGGAUCGAAUCGAAGAAUGAGAUGGAAUUGAAGGGAAAAGGGGUUGAAGAAUGGUGUGUGAGGAGAGUGAGGAAGUAGCUCCGGCGGCCGGGAACGGCGGAGAGAGAGAAAGGGGAGGGAGGGAGGGGGAGAGAGAGAAUUGAGAUCGGGGAAGAAGAGAGGAGAAAGAAGAGAAGAGGGGGGGGGGGGGGGGGGGGGGGGAGGGCAGUGAAUAAUACUGCAAAUAACCCUUUGCCACAUCUACAAAUGGACCGUACAGUGGACUUUUAAUACAAAUGGUCAAGGGCUAAGCCCUUCCUUUGGAACUUCCCCUCUUCUCUUUCCUUUCCUUCCCUUUCCUUUCUUGUAAAUUCUCAUUUUUAUUUUCACCUUUUUUUAAAAUAACAAAACCAAAAUUAUUUAAAUAAACAAACAUUUUUUUCUCUUUUCAAAUCUUUCUAUUUCAAUAUUUAUAUUUAAUAAAUUUAAAAUAAAGUUUCACUACCUUAUUUUCUCUUCUAAAAAGUAAAUUUAAAAUUUUACUUACGGAUAAGUAUUGUUAUUAACAUGUAAGUCAGUAUUUAAUGAAAAAUAGAGGUUACAAACGUAAAAUUUUAAAAUUUAUAGACUAAACUAAAAUAAUAUUCAAAUUUUAAGAUCAAAUUCAAGCGUUUUGAUAUUAAAAACUAAAUUGAAACUAAAAUCAAAACUUUAAAAUGAAAUGUGUAACAUUUUGAAACCUAUGAACUAAAUAAAAAUUAAAUUCAAAAUCUAAACCUUAGUACUUUAAUUGAGAUCGAUUGUGAUGUUGUUACCAAUGUGAAGUUUUAGUUGUCAAAAUGAUCAUAGCUCAAGUGACAUAGAGUUUGUCUUUAAAAUUAGAGGUUUGAUUCUCUCUCCUUACGUAUUGUCUAAUAUACAUAAACUAUAGUGUUGAAGGUUUGAAUUAAUACAACUUUGAAAUUUAAGGAUGUAAACCAUUAUUUUGGCAAUCGCUUGACUUUUAACAUUGUGUUCGCUUAUUUAGUCUACGUAUUUCGAUGGUUAUGUGCCUGUUUUUAUAGUACAACAAAAGUGGGUGAGAGAUCAAAUCUCCAACUUUUAAGAAGAGAAAUCAUGUCGUUUAUCAUUGAGCUAAGAGCUUUCUGUUUUGUAAGCAUUCAAUGUUAAAAAGUAUUAAUUACGUUCUUAAUUGAAAGGUGAGGAAUUUAUGGAAUGGUUUUUAAUUCCUAAACAAAGUUAUAAGUUUUUUAAAAUAUUCAAUUAACUGCCAGUAAAAAAAAUAUGAAAUAAUUGACAUGUAUUUUCUUUAAGAACGUGGGAAAAAAAAACUAUUCACAAAAUAGAGGUAAAUCUGGCCAAUUCUAUAUAGUUUUUUUUUUUUGUUAUAUUUUAUAAAUAGUUUCAAUUAUUUGUUAUCUAUAAAAUUUCAUCUAAAAGAAAUUUAACUAUGUGGUAUAGGUAAAAAGAUAAAUAUCAAAUUUUGAAUUAAAAUAAAAUGUUCUAUAUAAAGUCGGGAAACAAUAACUUUCAUAAGAAAAAAAAACUUGCUAACGAAAAAGAAUGUGCACCUAAUUAAUAUAUUUAUAUAUAUAUAUAUAGUAAUUUUCAAUUCUUUUAAGUUUUUCUUGAAGCUUUUGUUAACUCUACUUUUCACACCUUCACAAUCUCUCUCUUUCAAAUGUGAUAUCAGUUUAUUCAUAUCUCACUCAUGGAUUCAUAGCAUUACAAGUUUCGACAAAGGAACAAGAUAAAUCAUAUACAUAUAUAACAUCUUAUUUAUUUACAAACAUUACAAUAUAUAUAUAUAUACAAUUCUUCUUUUUUGCUAUAAUUGAAAACAUUUUCGACGGUUUUGUCAUAUAAAAUAAGAAGAAGAAAAAAAUUAAAUAUGAUAAUGAUUAUCCACGUUGUGGAACUAAUCAGAAAGUUAAAACUGGCAUAGCUUAGCUUACAUAGUAUUUGUAUAUUAACCUCAACUAACAUAUAUAGUACUAUUUGUCGAAAAAAAAAAAACAACUUUUUUAUUGAGCUCGAGCUCUAUCAAUAUUAAUUUCAACUAUUAUGUAACAUAGUUUUAUUGGACUAGUUCAAAUUUAUAUUGAUUUUAUGGCCGUGAACAAGGUUCAUUAUUUCAUCAAUCUCUUUUCAUGUUUUUAAAUAUAAAAUACGGUAAUUUAUUAUUCGGUUAUUUUCAAGUAUAGCAAAAUGAAUUAGAAUAUUUAUAAAACAUCAUAGUUUAUCUAUAAUAGAUGAAGAUAGAUUAAUAUAUUUUCAAGUAGUAUAUUUUAGUCUAUCGUGAUUUAUCAUAUAUAUAUAUAUAUAUAUAUAUAUAUAUAUAUAUAUAUAUAUGGAUAUAUAGAUUGUGAUAUUUUAUUAUAUUUUAAAUAUCUCACAGUUAUAAAUAAUUUUUGAUAAAUUUCUCAUUAUCAAAUAACACUUAACAUAAUUAUUUAAAUAAAUAAAGUGAUUGCCAUUUGGAGGGAGAGACGAAAAGGGACAAAAUGUUUAUAUUAUUUGUAGUUAGGAUUUAGAUUUUCUCUCUCUUUUUUUUCUUCUUUUUUUUGUAAAUUGUCUUGGAAUUAACUUUGAUAAUUUAAAUUCAACUUAUAAAUGCAUAAUAUAUAUAUAUAUAUAUAUAUAUGGUUUUAUGUCAUCAAAUGAUUUAAUGGUUGACUUCUUCUCUAUUUUUUAUUUUUAUUUAACGAAUUUUAUAUUGCUAUUUUAUUUUAAUGUAGUUUUCUCAAAUUUCAAUUCUAUUUGCCUUUUUCUUCUUUGAACUUUAAGCACCUUUUUUAUGCAGUGUAUUUUGUAUAAAUUGAAAGGUUGAUGAGUAAUACACUGGAUUUUAUCAUAUUUAUCCCUUUAAUUUAGUGACUUUUUCUUUAAAACUUUGUUUUUUAAACUUAUAUCGUGAUUUAAAUACUAUUUUGGUUCUUUUACUUCUUUUCUUGAUUCACUUGGAUCUAUACAUUCUAAGGUAUUAGUUGUGGUGUUUGUAAUUUCGACUUUAGUCCUUUUUUUUUCUUAUACUUUCAACUUUGGUUUAUUUGGGUCAGCUUUUGAAAAAUGACAAUUUGAAUCCCUUUAAAUAAAAUUACAAAUGAAAUUAUUAAAAUGGUCACUUUUAAAAGUAUUAUAACUAAAAUUUAAAAUAUAAACAUGAAAAUUAACAUUUUGAAAGUGUAAUUAUGAGGAUCUAAGUGAACCAACUUUGAAAGUAUAUGGACUAAAUUGAACAUUUUAAAAGUAUAAGGACUAAAAUAAACUAAACUAAACUAAAAGUACAUAGAACAAAAUAAAUGUCGGAAUUUAUGUCAUGAAACUUAUAGUUUGUAAUUUAAAAUCAUAUUAUAUUCAAUAAAGUUGUUACUGAUGAAUUAUUAGUGAAAUUGAAUACUAUAAUCUUUAAUCCAAUAAAUUAAGAUCCUAAGGUUAUCUUGAGUUAACUUGAUGUAUAUUACUUGAACUUUAUAUAGAGACAUAAACAUAUAUUAAGUUUGAGUAUAUGGCAUGUGAAUAGUUAGGUUUGACGUCUUAUUUUAGAAAAACUAUGAAUGUGUUUUGCUUUGUAGUGAGUACAAACGAUAUGAUUUUGAAUCGUUCAUGUGAAGAUAUGAAAGUGGGGCAUCCUACGUAACGUAAAAAGUUUACAUAAAACUAUAACAAUGAAAUAAUCUAUUUUACGUCAUAACACCGUUUAUCGUAUAAAACUGACUAUUUUCAUUAUUGAUGACUUGAGUAAGUUAAUUUUAAUCAUGAAUUAACUAUGAACUCUUGUUCAUACGGGGCUAUCCUUAGAUUUUUAUAGGUGAGGGCAACUCAUCAGGGCUGGCCUAAUAAGCCUCCCAAUUCAAGAGUAAGAUCAGUGGAUAUAUAAAGGACACAUGAUGCAAAUUCACUCCUACUCGUUAUAGGGUUAGUAGAUAAGUUGUUCCCCUAAACACUAAAUAUAGGUCAUGAACAAGGGGCCCCACCCUCUCAUGGAUUCGGUUUAUAGGUCAAACCUUAAACCAACUAUUCAAUAGUAGAUCAAUUAGACUUCAAGAAAAAAUGUCAUAUCAUGGGUAAAAUGGUAAUUUUGACUCAACCCAAGAUUACGAACAUCCUAUGAAGGACUAACUUACCAAUCAUGCUCAUAUCAAAUAGACACAAAUGUAUCUAUAGUGAGGAGGAGCGCAACUACAAGACUUUAGUGAAAUAACUCGUUAGUUAAGGAAUGUUAGUUAGCUCGAUCUAAAAGGGUUUAGCCAGUUAAUCUCGGUUCGUUGGAACCCAUGAUCUGUAUAUCUAUUAGGUUCCUCUUCUACUCGUAUAAAAUUAACUUAAAACAGUAUGUUGGAUUAGUUCUAAUAGUUCGAAUUGGGUAGAGAGAGAGAAAUCGACAAGUAUAUGUGAUAUGAUGACCGAUUAUCAAUUUAUAAUUAGAGCUUUAUAUUUAAAUACAACUUAAAUAUAAAAAAAUAUAAAUGUUGGUUCAUAUUCGAAAUCUCGAGAAUGAUGAAAAUGGUCAAUGGUGUAAAAAGUUAAACUUUGAUCUACUUUAUAUUAAAAUGUAUUUUGAAUUUUAAAAAAAUGAAUGUGGAUUAAUGCUCGAGAGGUCAGAAUUAGUCAAGAUGGUAAAAAAAAUCAAAAUGUUGACUUUUGACUUUAAUUAGAAUGGUGAAAAUACCAUUUUACUCUUUGAUUAAAGUUAGUAGAAAAAUCCAACAUUUUGUUGGAUAAUCCCACUAAACAUUUAAUGGAGUAAGUGGUUGCAUAUGGUAUAAGAGAUAGUGGAUUGUGAGGUGUUAAACUUUGAUGAAUCAAUUACACGAGAGAAUGUAAAUUGUUUAUAAAAGGGCAAAUCUAAUUGUUCAAGAACUUGUCUCUUUUAUUAAUGUUUUACCUUGAAACUAAUUUCACCAAAGUAUUAUUUUUUCUCUCAACUCUAAGUCCAAUCUCCAAAUUCAAAUCCUUCACUUAUUAGGUCCUACUACUCGGUUCUUAAUUUAGAAAAUAGCGGAUCAAUUUAGUGGUAAUCUGGUUUGAGAUGGUGAGAAAGAUUACAAGUAAAUUAGGAGCUACAAAGGUAAAUUUUAUCUUUAACUCUAUUCCGGAGUUCCAUGUUAAUUAAGAGCAAUUAAGAUAAAAUUUUGAUCCCAUUUUUGCUUUGCAUAUAUAAAAUCCAUCAAAUACUAUUUAAACGUAUUUUUAAUCAUAAUAAUAAUUAAGAAACUUAUAACACAAUUGAAAGAUCUUUAAUUCAUUAUUACUAUUAUUUUUACGAUAUAAAAGUAUAAUGGUAGAAGUGUGAGUAUUUGAAAUUUAAAUGUUUGAGAAGAAUUACUAAAUCUUAUCGAUUAAAUUAUGUUAGAUAGAUCAACAAUCCAUUAUUACAAGAUUCAAUAACCAUUUACCAUUUUCUUGUCAUUUGUUUUUUUAGUUUAACCAUUAGAAAUUCAAAUUAAGGAUAUAUCUUAACUAGAUAGAUUAUGUUAUUUUUACGUAUAAACAAAGAUAAAUACAGGAAGAUAAUUGAUUCAAAAGCCAAAACUUACAAUCAUUUUUUCUAACUUUUUUUACAUCAUCAUUAACCAAAGCUACAAAACCAUCUUUUAAUUUUUAUUUUUCCUAUUAUUCUCAAUUUUCCAUCCUUCAUUUGCAUCGUUCAUCUUCAUUUUUCUCUUUUUCAUUUGUCACCGACCAUCAAAAUAUUGCAAGGUAUUGUCGUUGGUCAUCGAAACGUUGCUCAAAAAGUUGUAUGCACGAAAACAAGAUAGCAAAGAGCAUAGCAAGAACAGAUAGAGAGGAGACCAAGAGAGAGUGAAAGCAAGACAAUGAGAAAGAGGAAAGGAAGACAAUGAGAACGAGGAAAACAAGACAACGAGAGAGAGGAGAUUGAGCUAGCAAGACAACGAGAUAAUGACCGAAGGACAUAACGAAGAGCGAGAAUAAAAGGUGUCAAUCUCCAUGCACAAAGUUCCAUUUUGAUAAUUUCACUCAAAUAUAAGAUCAAUAAAGGAUCAAACAAACCUCAAUUUCGAAAGUAACCGAAUAUAUUUGUAUUUUUAAGUUUAAAGAUCAAUCAAACACAAACUUGAAAACAUUCCCACAUAGCUCAGAGACAUAAGAAAGUUUCAAAAUAUAAUUUGCUCAAUCACUAUUUAUAUGUUUCUCAUCUUGUCUUAAGAGAGUGAUAUCUAUAAUUCUUUUUUAAUACUCUUAGGUAUGUUAUCUCAAAGGACAAUCUUCAAACUUUAUUGCAUUUGGUUAUUAAUGUAACUUUUUAGGAUAUUAAAUUUUCUGCAAAUGGCCCUCUAAUCCUUUUACUAUUUAUACUGACUCUCCACUUCCAUGGAAACUUGAAUACAUAAUUUUGAUUACAAAAUAAUAAAGCUUCUGUUAGCAAUGAUACAUUGUGUAAUAAAUAAUGCAUUUUCUUUCCCAAUCAGAAAUUACUUUUAAAAAAUUCAGACCAACCAAAAGCUCUAUGAUCCUAUUCUAUUCAGCACAUUGAAUUAAUGUUGUUUGUCUACACAAAAUUCAGACUUUGUUACCUGAUGAAUGUUGCCAUCAGUGUCAUAAUUAAUACAGCCACAAUUGAAUGAAAUGCGUCAGCACUGGAUGCUGCACCAGAGAACUUGAAUCUCUGAGACUGAUCCCUGCAUAAAAGAAGACAUAAGAAAGAAUCUCUGUUUUGAUUCAUAUUGGUUUCGGUUUCGGUUUUUGUUUUUGUUUAGAUAGAUUUUUAGAUACAGUACUUAGUGUCAAAUCUUUCUUAUUGCUUUUAAACAAUGUUGUUAAAAGUACAGUUGUUUAUUUUGAUUCAUCAAGACAAAAAAAAUAUAUAUUUUGAAGGAUUUCUGGAAUGCAAACUAGCAGAUUCAAUCUCAAUCCAAUGGGAACAUGGUACGAACAAACAAGAAGAGAAUGAGGCUAAGGACUUACUUUUGUAAGGAAGAAAGAAGGCCGCAGUAUAUGGUAUUAUCAGGCAUAGGUAUCUCACUUUUGUCAAUCUCUGGAUUUACAACACUCACAUAAAGUUCUUGGCCCAAAUACCACGAGUCGAGAUUUUCGGAACGAAGAUUCCAUAUGCCAGCAUUGUCAAGGGACACUAGAACUGCAGUCCAAGCUCCAGGAAAAACCUUGAACCACGAAAAAACCGAUAAGAGUUUGAUCGUUCACUCUGUGAGUAAUCCAUAUAGUAUAGUCUGUCUCAAUGACACCAUAAAUCAUUCACUCCAGCCAUGAUCCAUCAGUUCUCCCUUUUAUUUUUGUACUAGUUUGUUCCCUCUACCAUUAUGUCUUUUAUAAAAUCCCCAAGCACAUGCUUCAAAGAAAUUUUAUAAAAUUUUGUUUCAAACUUUUUCUGUUUCUUCCCUCUAUACAGCAAGAUUAGAUGGGCUAGUUACCUGUGUCGAGCAUCGGGCAACACCAUCCCACUUAUUGUAAGUCCCUCGGCUAUUUUCAGUCCAAACUCCAAAAUCCAUGCUGCAUCAUAAACAGGUUUCAAUUAAAUUUGAAGUCCUAAAAGUUAGCAAAAAGUAUAAGAUAUUAAAAUUCAAUACUCACCCAACAACGAAAAAUGCAUAGCCAUCCAAAUGGUAGGUCUGAACAUUUUUGUCACUGUUUUGAAAAAUAAUCUCCAUAAAACCUUUGAAAGUACCAUUAAUCAGAGACGUGUCGAGUUUGGGAGGCCUAUUCAUCAUUUGAUUCGGAAAAUCGAGUUUGUAGACACCUGGAAUGCUAAAUUGUUGAGCAUGUUUAAGUGGAGUUGAAGGUGUAAAGUAUGAUAAGCCAUUGAGGGUCCUUCUCCAUUUCCCAUUUAUAAGCUCUGAAGGUCGGUUUAGUAUCACAUAUACAUCUGUGACAGUGAUUUGACCAUAAUUGAAAGAUCCCUGUGGGUUUGGACGAGCAGCACCGGCAGAAACAUUCCAUCUAACCAUAAGAAGAAUUGCAAAAGUGAGACAACCUAGUAAAAUAAAGCAAUUGCAUGCAUGUGAUGAAAUAGAAUUAAGUAAGAUUUUGGAGAAAGCAAAAUUCUUCCAUUGACGUAGCUCUCUUCAGUCUAAAGCAAACAAAAUUGAGUUAAGAACUUGUACACCUACCACCGGAGAGAAAUGAACAUUGAUUGACAACAAUUCUAGUCCUAAAGACAAAUGAACAAAAGACCAUAUCAAUGAUGUUUGCAUAUUUUGUUUUCUUUUAACAAGAUUCUGUUCUUUUCUUUUCUUUUGCUUGUGGCAAUGAAAUGGGAAAGCUAUCUUGUUACCAAAGAGAAUAUGUAACUAACUACAACCUUAUAGAUCUUGCUUGAUUCAUUGAGAAAAAUGUGUCCAAUUCAUUAGGAGGAUCAGGAAGAGGACCUGAAGCAGGUCCCUGGGAAUUAGAAUAGUGCAGGAUAGCCACUCCGGUAGUUCCAGCCAGAGAAGAUGAAUUUAGUAAUCUAGAGCUGGCAACAAUGUAGUAAUCACUGCUAGCAUUUUGGUCCAUCAUGACCAAAAAUGAGUAUGAUUGACCCACAUGAAUAUCCAUAUUUUCGUAAGCCUGCUGAACUGUGUAUGAUCCUUCCGUCUCAACCAAAAGUAAGUUGUGACUUUGUAUUCUAAAAUUCAAACUCGUUGAGAUUCCAACAUUGUGCACUCGGAGGCGAUAUGUUUUCCCUGGUUAAGAUUAAGAUUAAUUUCCAAAACUUAGUCACCAAUAGUAUACAAGAGAAAUGGUAAUUACGACAAGUGAAAGCUGAAUAUCCACAGUUUGUACUGCAUGUAAACAUUGAAUAAUUGAAGACGGUCUUUAGGUGCGAGAGCAAAGUGUGAAAUCCUAUGUUGCAGAAGAGCUAAUGGAAAAUAUAAUGGAGGAAAGCAUACAAAAAUAUACAAUUUGAAGCUUUUUUUUUUUUGGGUGGGGGGAGAGAGAGAGACUUUGAAGCCAUAAGAUUUAGAUUUUCAAGGAAUAAAACAAAACUCCGAAAGUCCUCAUGUAAAAUCAAAUCUUAUCCAACUUUUCUCCUCAGACUGUGUCAUGUCAAUUUCAAAAUCUACCAAGAAUGGGUAAUGAUCUUCAGUGAACUAUCACAAUAUCAAAUUAGAACACUGUAAAUAAUCUUAUUAGAUAUUUUCAACUUAGAAUCAGACACUAAAGAAUACCCUAGCGUGGCUUCAUGAUCUAUCCAUACGAUUACAUUAGGAUUCAAUGGGAUCCAACGAUAGAAUAAGUUGAAUACCUUAUGUAGAUUUGUAAGCCACUUUAGGCUUCAAUGCUAAGACCGUUUUUAUCAGUAUAACUGAGAAGAGAGAUCAAAGUUUGGAGCUACAUUACUGGGAAGGUGAAGAUUUCCACUAAGAACUUCAGUCAUACGUUGUAGGUCAGUAUUAAGAGUCUUAAGACAAGGAAAACUUAUCAGAAGCAGCCACCACAAUCACAAUUGUUAACGCAGGGAGGGGAAAGCCUCUAUUUUUCUCUCUUCAGUGUCUCUCAAGCUCUUAAGAGUGACAAUCAUAUUGAAACUUUUCUUGACUAUGCAACUGCGACCUAGUUAACUGCCUAGACAUGAAUUGGAUAAAAAGAAAAUUUACCCUUCCAAGCCAUCGCUCCAACUUCCAAUUUUGGGAAUGGAGUCCUUACUCCUUAGAUGAUUGAUUUAAUAUGGUUUAAACUUGUCACUGUAGUAGAGGCACAUUUAAGAAGUCUUUGAAAAACCAUCUCCCAUUGCAUCCCCUACAUUAAUAGUUUCAUUAAAUUCAGUGGGAAAUGAGCUCACUGCUAGCACUCCCUUCUAGGAAGAUUCUAGAUUGAUAAUAAUCUUCAAGUCAUUUCCUCUGCCUCUUUAGUCUGCAGUCUGUACUUCGAAAAAGGGUGGGUUAACUCUGUUAUAAUUCCUAAUAACAAAUUUUAUAAUUAUUCUAAUUUUCGAAGGCUACUUUGGGACUUCACGGCUCAAGAUUUGGCUAAUCUUUUUUCGUUGUUAUGAGAGAUCUGCCGUUCCUCAACAUCAAAUGAAUUUUGCAAGUGGAUUCUCAAACUGUCAAAUAUCCUUCUUGUUAAGCAUUAUUUUGCGCCAUUUGGUGUCUCAGCCAGAUUUUCUAGUCUCCCAUAUAUUCACCUUGAGCCAGAAGGUCUAAAUCUUGAAGAACAUCAGGUUUUUGAUUGGUUGGAUUCGUAGAAGAGGCUAAGCACCAUAAACUUCACCCAAAACUCAACUGUAGUUUUAUGUCCCCAGGGCCUCAGUGGCAUGUAAUGUGUAAGAGCUCUAACAAAGAUCCUGAUCAUACAUUUAGGAGUUUGCUAUAAACUUUAAAGGGAAUGCCUGAACACAACUGAAGGAAAUUUGGUCCCUACAAAAGGUUGUGGGGAAGUGAUAAAAGGGGCGCAAAUCCCACUUCCUAUAGUAGUAGAAGUCAGAUUUUUUUGCUAAUUUGUGAAACAGAUAGCUUGAGAAAUCUUGGAGAGCCUUUAAAGACAGAAGAAUGUUGAGGUGAAACAAGGAACAUUUCAAUGCCUCGCUCUCGGUGUUCUCAUUUGGAGUAUUUUGCAAUCAUCCUCGUCUUCUCUUAACAGUUAAAGAAAAUCCAUUUCAAGUUUGUUUUACAGUUCUUUUUCCUUAAUGAGAGUUAGUGAAAUGUCAUAAUAAUUAAUUUUUCCCUGCAAAAGAGUCAUGAAUUCAGUCACAUACUAAAAUAAAAUCCAUGAUAAAAAUAAAACUUACCAGGUUCAACGUUUAUUGUAUGAAAAGGAAUGCCAUCAGAGACAAGAGCACUAUCAAAGCGAAAAGGACCCUCUCCAUUGAUGAGAAUACCAUCAGGAACACCAAGGUGAAUCCCAUUCUCAACAUCUUUCCUUAAUUCCUACAAUUUUCAUUAUCGCCAUCAAACAUGAAAUCAAGACAGGGAAAGCGAAAUCAGGUUAAAAGUUACUGAUAAUCAUCAGUGAAAGCAAGAAGCCACUCAGGCUUGAUACUGACCUUAUGACCCUUAGUAUACCAAUCACUAAUGAAGAUUGUGAUAUCUCCAUCAGGCACCGAAAAAGGCAAUGGAAUAACGUCCCUGUUAUUUAUGGUGAUUCCUCCAUAUCCACCAGCAGCUCUCUGAAAGUUCAAGGAAGGGAAGUAAAAGAAACUCCCUAUUUGAUCUUUGACCUGAAACUGAUAUGUCCAGUUCCACCCAGCAGGGAUUGGACAAUUAGUCCCAGAAACACCAUCUUGCCAAGAGUUUUUUCUGUGUUGUAUACCAUUCCUGAAUUAAAAAUUAACAACAAAAUCACUACUUCGAGAACUUGCUACAACUUUUGUUUCUUAACUUUCAACUUUUUAUUUAAACUUUAGAAAGUUAAAAUUAUGUCUCUAAGUUUUGAAUGGUAAUUUUACGAAGUCUCCACCAUUUACAUUGCUAACUAGAUUAUGAUGUCACAUGCUAAUCCAACAUACGUUGAGUGAUCGAAUGAUUUGGCACUCUCUCUUUCUGAAGCAAGAUAUCAAUUCUAUUUUAUAGCUCAUACCAAACUAUUUCAUCCAAUUGUCUGCUUCUUUGUACAAUUUGUGUACCACAUCGUGCUGAAUUGCCAACAUUUGUCUAAUAUGCAUAAUAUAUCAUUCUUGAAUUAAUGGAAUAUGGAAUCGCAGUUCAAACUUUUAAAAACAUAAUUAAACAGAUUUUAAGCAUCUGAACUAAAACGUGACACUUACAAAGUCCAGGUACUAAAUUUGGUAGCUUAACGUACAUUUUUUCAAUCCCUUUAGUGAAUGUAGUUCAUACCAUGUCAAAAGUAAAGGCUCAUCGAGGUCAUUUUUAACGUUGACAACAACAUUCCAGUUCGUAGUUACAUUGAGCACAGGUCCAGGAAACUGUCCGUUAAUCCCAAUGACCUGUGAAUAUAAUUACAUAAAAUAAGAAGUCAGUAAGGAGACAAAAACAUAUCGGAAUUUGCAGUUCCAAGUCCACAAGACCACAUUAGAAGAAAGUUGAAACUAAAACAAACUUCACUGAAAACAGAAUCUGAAUUUUCUCCCUCUGCCAAUCAAGAAAACUCCAAAGUAAUGAGUCAAAUACCAACAAAACCACCCAAUAUUUUCAUAACAAUCAUGAGUCCUUAAGACUUUGGUUUUGAUUUCAUCCAAACAAAAAACAGAUAUCCUUACUUAUACACCUAUGAUUUUCCUUCUCCUUAUCCAAUGUUAAAUAAAACAGUAGAAACGCACAACUUCCACAAUUAAGGAAAUUUAUAACUCUUUAAGGUAUGUUAUAAGAACAUAUCUCUAUUAUUCUUCAGAUUAAAUUUCAGUUUGGUCCCUGUAAUUUGAAAUUAAGUCACGAUCUUCUCGAGCAAGAUGUGUUCCAUAGAUUGUACAACUAUGUCCUUGAGUUAAAGUUUUAAUUAAGCCACUAAAGUUUAGACUUAGUUUCACUUUUAUCCGAACGUUUGAUAAAACCUCACAAAUGGUCCAUAAACCAUCUUUCAUCCACCUAUUUCCUUACUUUUUUCUAAACUCAGUUCUAUGCUCAAUUAUAGUAAACCAACCCAGUUAACCAAAUACACUAUAUCAAUCCAGUACCACCAUACAUUAAAAAUUAGAAAUUUAUUUUAAACGGCACAUCUUCUAAAAAAAAUAUUUACAAAUAUAGCAAAAUAUAUAAUUAGACGAGGAUAGACGGCUUUCAUAUAUAUAUAUAUACCAAGAGAAAUGCCUGGAAAUCCCCAUAGUUCCAACAUGAAAUUUGCAGAAGAAAGAAAAAAGAAGAGUAAGAAUGAAGAGAAGAAACCUUCUGUUUGAGUCCAAGUGGAGAAGCAGAGAUGUAGGAGACAGUCCAAUCGAAGAAGACGUAGGGGUCACUUGCAAGAGCAUAUCUUUUGAGGCAUAAGAAAAGAAAAACAGAGAGAGGAAGUAAAAGGUUGAAGAAACGAAGCCAUGGCAUGGGGAUUGAGGAAGUUUGGAAAAUGGGAAAAAGGGUGAAGAUAUGAUUAGAUUAUCCAAUGGGGGAGUCUGAGAAGGAAGAAGAAGAAGAACUGACAAGUGCAGAAGAGUGAUGCAUUUUCACAUGGGGAUUUGAGAAAGGAGGAGAUGCCGACAGAGUUUGCCAAUUGGGUUUAUGGGUCCCAAAAGAGUUGAAAAAGUCAUCUCAUUUCAACGAUUUGAUUCAUAUUUUUUGGAUCAGAUCUUAAUUCCAAAAACGUUAUAUUCUCAUUCAACCAUGCAAGUUUUCAAAAUCAGUGAGUUCUAUUCAUUUUCUCUUCAUGUGGAUCCAUCCUUGUUUUAACAAUGCACAUUUGAACUCAUAAUCAUGAGAGAAAGAGAACAUGUGAAAACAAAGCGUUUCCAUAAAAAGAGUUUGAAAAUAUUUGAUACUUAGAUCAAAUUUUCCAUUGCUAAUAGAAUUAAGUUUUAUAAAACAAAAAAGAUUUGAACAACUCUAUUGUGGGCCAAAGCUCUAUUCUCUUUGUUGAUGAAGAGUUUGCAAUGUGAAAAGGCCAAUCUUUGGUUCCUUUUUUCUAAAGAAAAGAAGGAAAAAAGUGAAGCACUUUGGACCAAAUGGAUGACAAAUCAUUGAAGCACUUAUAGUUAAAGUUGUAUAAUUUAAUCUUUUGUUGGGACAAAAAAUAUAUAUACACAAAACUUUGCUUUCUAAUCUUUAUCUUUUCUACAUUUUAAUAUUUAAUCUCAACUUUUGUUGUUUUAGUAUUUAGUAACAUUAAUUUUUACGUCAACACGAAUCAACUCGAAUUCUGAAUUCUUGUGUAGACAGUGUUGAACUCAAAAGAAAAAAGGAAAAUCUUCGUUCUCGUUUUUUAUGUGAUAAUUUCAAUACGACUUAAAAUAAAUAAUUUUUUGAAAUACAAGCAUGGUUUUGUUUCAAAAGUUUUUGUUUAGUAUCGAGUUUUUUUGUGUCAAACUUUAUUGUUUUUCUUCAAGAAUAUUGACGGAUUAGUUUCUUGAAAUGUAAAUAUGUUGAAGGAAUUUUUUUUGGAAGUAUAGAGUAAAAUUAAAUUAAAAUAAAUUAGAGUUUUUAGGAAAAGUAUAAUAAAAAAAUUGAAAGUGCAAUCACAAAAAAAGUUGUAUUGAAAGAGACCCAAAUUUAAAGGCAAUUAAAUAAUUAAAACACAGUAUUGAACUUCCAAUUUUAUUAUAUUUUGAUGUUUAAAUUUUUAAUGUUUACGUUGGUAUAAAAAGAUGAUUAUCUUAAUCAUUAUCAUUACACUACCAUUAAUCAUUUAACAAAUAUAUAAUAUAUUUUUUAUUUUUAUGAUAGAUUAUUAUUACUGUCGAACAAAUUAUUUUAAAUAACAAAACUUUUGAAAAUAUUCACAAAUAUAGUAAAAUAUCACAACAUGUUUGUAAUAGAUCAAAAUAUAUCGUUAUCUAUAUAUAUCAUAAUAAUAUAUACUCAGACAGUAGUCUAUAUUUAUCUAUUGCGGUCUACCGUAGAUAAACUAUAAUAUUUUAAAAAUAUUUUGGUUUAUUUUGCUACAUUUUGGAAAUAGCUAUUUUUUUAAUGGCUAAAUCUUGUAAAAUAUUGAAAAUAUAACAACAGUGAGACGAGAAAAUUUGGCAAACUUUAGAACUCCUAUCAAUAAUACCUUUAAAUUUAAGAAAUGUGAUACAAGUUGCUAUCACUAAUAUCUUUUAUCAACGAUAUUGCUAUCAACCUAAAAUCAUAUCAAUGACAUAAUCUAUUAAUGAUUGCACCGGAAGGAUAUCACUGAUAGCAACUAUAAGUAAUAUCAUUAGUAAGAUAUUUUUAUAAGUAACCUCUCUCCUUAGUAAAUAUAUCAAUUUUGAAAUGAUAAGGUUUAAUUAGGCUAUUAAUUGAUAUUUUUUAUAGCUACUAUUAGUGAUAUUCUUAUAUUACUAACACUUGUAAUAUCUAUCAACGAUAGCAAUAGAAGCAUAUCA
RNAcentral lists this long non-coding RNA (25926 nucleotides) under Cucumis sativus (cucumber). RNAcentral's name for it is "long non-coding RNA (CSAT_LNC002857)". Lineage: Eukaryota; Viridiplantae; Streptophyta; Magnoliopsida; Cucurbitales; Cucurbitaceae. The record is from RNAcentral.